Molecule: long non-coding RNA, 1000 nt
Organism: Carassius gibelio (silver crucian carp)
Lineage: Eukaryota; Metazoa; Chordata; Actinopteri; Cypriniformes; Cyprinidae
Exons: 2
Source: RefSeq, a predicted model, not a curated record
UCGUACCUCGGAUUCUGUCCCCCCAUACUUUUGGAUCCAGGGGCUCCCCAUAAAAACGGGCAUAGCAAGGGGUUGGGCUGAAGGCCCCGCGUCGUCGGUCAUUGGACGACCUUGGUUACUCAACUCGAGGUGGAAAACCCUGCCGACUACGCCAAAUCUGUCACACCCAGGGGCAGCUAUGCUUUGACUAAGCCACACCCCUUCUCAACUUCCACCUCGAGGAGGUCCCCAAAGCCAACCCAAUGGCCAAACAACACGAGAACAAGUAAGUGAUAAAACAAUCUUUAUUUAAAUAUUUAAAAAUAGCUUGGGGAAUAGGGAAAGGGCAAUUAAAACUAAACUCUGACUCGGCCCUCCAGAUGGGCUAUGGCCGGGAAGAGGUCAGGGAGCAAGGGGGCCACGGGGAUCCGGGGCGUGGGACUCGGGGCCCGGCCAGAGUCUUAGGUAUCCGUAGCGCCCUCCUUCUUCCUCCUCUUCGCUGAAUACAACUCACGGUAAGUACUGGUUCACACAGUUCGUUCUCGGGGUGCUCACUCUCUUUCUCUUCCUCCACAGGCAACGGCUGGGACGCAAAGGCACAGUUAAUUCGGCUUGGUUUUGCUCUCACCUCUUCGCUGAUUGCAGCUCACAGUAAGUACUGGUUCACACAGUUCGUUCCUUGGGUGCUCACUCGCUUUCUCUUUCUCCACAGGCAGCGGCGUAAGUACAGGUUUCCUCGGUCUCUCCUCGUGUUACCCACUCUCUCUCCUUUUCUCUCCACAGGUAUCAACUUGGGCACAAUAGCACAGUUAGUUUGCUUUGAAUGGCUCUCACCUCUGGGCUGGACACAGCGUACUGUAAGUACAGGUUUCCUCUGUUUCUCCUUGUGUUACUCACUCUCUCUUUCCUUUUCUCUCCACAGGUAUCAGAUUGGACACAAAGCACAGUUAGUUUGCUUUGAAUAGCUCCCACCUCUGGGCUGAACACAGCGUACCGUGCUAUCUCCGGAGAUCUGAAGCAC